GGGGAUAUAGCUCAGUUGAUACAGUGUUUGCCUGCUUGCACAAGGCCCUGGGUUCGAUCCCCAGCACCACCA
Molecule: transfer RNA, 72 nt
Filed under: Marmota marmota marmota (Alpine marmot)
Lineage: Eukaryota; Metazoa; Chordata; Mammalia; Rodentia; Sciuridae
Also listed under: 1 other name
Rfam family: tRNA
About the family: Transfer RNA (tRNA) molecules are approximately 80 nucleotides in length. Their secondary structure includes four short double-helical elements and three loops (D, anti-codon, and T loops).
Source: Rfam by way of RNAcentral